AUUCCAUGAUGGGGACAUUCUAGGUGUAGUCUUGAAAGCGCUCCCAUGCUUCUGGAACAAAUUCAUCAUUUUGUUGCUGAAAACUUGUAAUCUUCCCACAGAGAGC
This 106-nucleotide small nucleolar RNA is filed under the name Sorghum bicolor (sorghum). RNAcentral's name for it is "Plant small nucleolar RNA R71". It matches the Rfam family "Plant small nucleolar RNA R71". From Rfam's summary of the family: R71 is a member of the C/D box family of snoRNAs containing the C (UGAUGA) and D (CUGA) box motifs. Multiple nearly identical copies of this snoRNA have been identified in Arabidopsis, and it is thought to function as a 2'-O-ribose methylation guide for 18S ribosomal RNA. Lineage: Eukaryota; Viridiplantae; Streptophyta; Magnoliopsida; Poales; Poaceae. The record is from Rfam by way of RNAcentral.